GCAGAGUGCGUUGUUGCAGAGUCACUGCGAGGUGGUUCGUGUGUAAACAAGAUGUUGGAGAAAGAAAAGUCUGGAACUAGCCAAGUAAAUACUGCUUUUGAAAAUAAUAAUAGAUUAGAAUGAAACUUAAUUGAUUGUAGUGUGAUGCUUGUGGAACGCUAAACCUAAUCGAAAAAUGCAAUAGCUCGCGUCUGUCGCGUCUCAUCAAUCGAUGAGACAUUGCUAACAGAGUUAGCUACUUUAGCUAGCCACCUCACUGUUGCUUAAUAGCUUGCUGCAUUUGAGGCCCGUUUGUCGCAGCGCCUGAUAGACCCUGCAUGUCCAGGCCAUCCUCAAUCUGGACUGUGGACAGGAGAUCCUGAGUUGUCAUCCACGUGAAAAGUAAACAGACGCAGAGUGCAUCACCCAUGGAUCUAUAAAAGAACGGGGCGAUCAGAUCUUCUCCCUGUGUGAUCACAUUACCUUCUCUGUCGGCUGUGUCAUCACACACUCCACACAACAUUGUCCCUGACUGGGAUAUUUGGAAUGCAACUCGAGCUGGGUGGCUGGUCACUACAACCUCCUCCCACUAUGGAGGCAGGAGGAAAAGACUGUGAGGACGAGACCCUACAAACUGCCUUUAAAAAGCUCCGGGUAGAUGCUGAAAGCUUGCCUGCUACACUGCACGUCUGCGAGACCAUUACUCCAAGAGUGGUUAGCCGAGCCUUUCUAGAGGGUGCCAAGCCCAAACUUAGCUGCCCCAAGGAGAACUGGCAUGGUGUGGCUGUCAGAACUACAAAUUCCUGUCUCAAGCUUCAAAGUCACUCACCAGGGCCAUGAUGAUCUAGACGAGACUGCCGAAUCGAGGCAAAGAACCAAUUGGUGUGCCUGAGUCUUCUCAACUAGACACAAGAUGACCAUGAUUUGAAUGCUGAAACUGAGACUGAGAAUGAUGUCGAGGGACAUAUGCAGGGACUACGAGUAUGAUUGGACAUGGUCCGGAUAUUUGUAACCACUACCUACUAGGGGUGCAGAAGCACACCAGCACCCCAUUUUAUUUUUAUUCCAUGGCCAACAAGCUCUCUAGCUACCCUUUAUUCCACACUGUCUUUCAACUUCAGACACUUUAGAACUCUCUACCCCACCUUCACCCAUUUCCCCUAUGCUGCCUCCUUCACUUGUUCUUCUGAUUUGAUAACAUCUAGACUCAGUAACACAUUUAAGUGUUGUGGUGUACUGUUUUUGCUAUUGACAAUUGACAAGCAACAUUGACAAGAAGGGUGUUGAUAUUGCUGCUAACUUGUUGAGUCUUAAGUGCGUUUCUCAUUUUACAUUUUUACAUUUGAGUAAUUUAGCAGGCGAUCUUACCCAGAGCGAUUACAGUAGUGAGUGCAUACAUUUUCAUACUUUUAUUUUUGUUGUUGUUGGAGUUGGCUAGUAAUUUAUAUAAAACCUACCUUACGCAUCCAGUUUUUCCAUUUGUAACCCACCCACCAAAAUCACAAUAUGCUGUUUUACAUGUAUUAUUUGUGCUGGCCUAAUUCCUAAAAAUGUGAAACAUUAGAAGAAUCUGUUCGCUCUCAGAUAGUAAUACUAGUUCAUAUGGUGCUCUUUGAUGUCCCAGGUGUGUGGCAUUGAUGAGUAAAUCAUUGAAUGUUUACUUAACAUAACAUAUACGAAUAUGUAUGCAUUGUUAACUUAAUUUUUUUUUUAAAACAAUGUGAUUGUUGGAGUUUGGGUGUCUGAUUCAUGGGUGACACUAAACUAUUUUUGUCAAAUAUAUGUUUAUUCAUUCAUGAUUAUGGAUAUAUUCUGCAAUGAGUUAAUUGGGCUUUGAACCUGCAAACAGAACAUGUCAAGUUAGAUCUGAACUGCUUUAAUACAGCAGUGCAUUCUGACAGCAUUAAUUGAAGUAGAUUUGACCUUGUUCAUAUAGUUGGCAGAAAUGAUAAUGGAUUAAAUAAAGACCUCUGUCUGAAGGAGAAGAGUAUCUGGUAAAAUAAAGGUAUGUUGGUAAUAUCAUCUA
This is an RNA transcript of Oncorhynchus kisutch (coho salmon), 2005 nucleotides long. It is a transcript of the gene named oxidative stress responsive serine-rich 1, with no coding region annotated. NCBI's taxonomy places the organism in Eukaryota, Metazoa, Chordata, Actinopteri, Salmoniformes, Salmonidae. The transcript is spliced from 7 exons. The record is from RefSeq and is a predicted model, not a curated record.